RNAcentral lists this small nuclear RNA (149 nucleotides) under Myotis davidii. RNAcentral's name for it is "U1 spliceosomal RNA". It matches the Rfam family "U1 spliceosomal RNA". Rfam says of the family: U1 is a small nuclear RNA (snRNA) component of the spliceosome (involved in pre-mRNA splicing). The record is from Rfam by way of RNAcentral. Lineage: Eukaryota; Metazoa; Chordata; Mammalia; Chiroptera; Vespertilionidae.
AUACUUACCUGGCAGGGGAGAUACCAUGAUCAUGAAGGUGGUUUUCCCAGAGCGAGGCUUAUCCAUUGCACUCCGGAUGUGCUGACCCCUGCGAUUUCCCCAAAUGUGGGAAACUUGACUGCAUAAUUUGUGGUAGUGGGGGAAAACAA